Molecule: ribosomal RNA, 497 nt
Filed under: uncultured bacterium
Lineage: Bacteria
Description: partial 16S ribosomal RNA
Rfam family: Bacterial small subunit ribosomal RNA
Source: RNAcentral
GAUGAACGCUGGCGGCGUGCCUAAUACAUGCAAGUCGAGCGAACAGACGAUGAGGUUGCUCCUCUGACGUUAGCGGCGGACGGGUGAGUAACACGUGGAUAACCUACCUAUAAGACUGGGAUAACUUCGGGAAACCGGAGCUAAUACCGGAUAAUAUAUUAAACCGCAUGGUUCAAUAGUGAAAGACGGUUUUGCUGUCACUUAUAGAUGGAUCCGCGCCGCAUUAUCUAGUUGGUAAGGUAACGGCUUACCAAGGCAACGAUGCGUAGCCGACCUGAGAGGGUGAUCGGCAACACUGGAACUGAAACACGGUCAAGACCCCUACGGGAGGCAGCAGUAGGGAAUCUUCCGAAAUGGGGGAAAGCCUGACGGAGCAACGCCGCGUGAGUGAUGAAGGUCUUCGGAUCGUAAAACUCUGUUAUUAGGGAAGAACAAAUGUGUAAGUAAAUAUGCACGUCUUGACGGUACCUAAUCAGAAAGCCACGGCUAACUACGUG